RNAcentral lists this ribosomal RNA (256 nucleotides) under uncultured bacterium. RNAcentral describes it as "partial 16S ribosomal RNA". It matches the Rfam family "Bacterial small subunit ribosomal RNA", at positions 524 to 776 of the family's 1533-position model. The record is from RNAcentral.
UACGGGGGGGAGCAAGCGUUGUUCGGAUUUACUGGGCGUAAAGGGCGCGUAGGCGGUCGUGACAAGUCACUUGUGAAAUCUCCGGGCUUAACUCGGAACGGUCAAGUGAUACUGUCGGACUAGAGUACAGAAGGGGGCAACUGGAAUUCUCGGUGUAGCGGUGAAAUGCGUAGAUAUCGAGAGGAACACCUGCGGCGAAGGCGGCUUCCUGGCCUGUUCUUGACGCUGAGGCGCGAAAGCUAGGGGAGCAAACGGG